UACAACAAGAUGCACGUUUGUCCCUGCCCCU
RNAcentral lists this non-coding RNA (31 nucleotides) under Rattus norvegicus (Norway rat). Lineage: Eukaryota; Metazoa; Chordata; Mammalia; Rodentia; Muridae. The record is from RNAcentral.